GUGCCAGCAGCCGCGGUAAUACGGAGGGUGCAAGCGUUGCUCGGAAUCACUGGGCGUAAAGAGCGUGUAGGCGGUUUCGUAUGUCUGACGUGAAAGCCCCGGGCUCACCCCGGGAAGUGCGUUGGAAACUGCGAGACUAGAGUCCCGGAGAGGAAGGUGGAAUUCCAGGUGUAGCGGUGAAAUGCGUAGAUAUCUGGAAGAACACCGGUGGCGAAGGCGGCCUUCUGGACGGUGACUGACGCUGAGACGCGAAAGCGUGGGGAGCAAACAGGAUUAGAAACCCCAGUAGUCC
This 292-nucleotide ribosomal RNA is filed under the name uncultured bacterium. RNAcentral's name for it is "partial 16S ribosomal RNA". It matches the Rfam family "Bacterial small subunit ribosomal RNA", at positions 505 to 796 of the family's 1533-position model. The record is from RNAcentral.